This 253-nucleotide ribosomal RNA is filed under the name uncultured bacterium. RNAcentral's name for it is "partial 16S ribosomal RNA". It matches the Rfam family "Bacterial small subunit ribosomal RNA", at positions 524 to 776 of the family's 1533-position model. The record is from RNAcentral.
UACGUAGGGUCCGAGCGUUGUCCGGAAUUAUUGGGCGUAAAGGGCUCGUAGGCGGUCUGUCGCGUCGGGAGUGAAAACUUACAGCUUAACUGUGAACUUGCUUUCGAUACGGGCAGACUUGAGGCAUUCAGGGGAGAACGGAAUUCCUGGUGUAGCGGUGAAAUGCGUAGAUAUCUGCAGGAACACCCGUGGCGAAAGCGGCGCGCUGGACCACUACUGACGCUGAGGAACGAAAGCUAGGGGAGCAAACAGG